RNAcentral lists this ribosomal RNA (480 nucleotides) under uncultured bacterium. Its description in RNAcentral is "bacterial SSU rRNA". It matches the Rfam family "Bacterial small subunit ribosomal RNA", at positions 8 to 507 of the family's 1533-position model. The record is from RNAcentral.
AGAGUUUGAUCCUGGCUCGAGGACGAACGCUGGCGGCGUGCUUAACACAUGCAAGUCGACGGUAAGGCCCUUCGGGGUACACGAGUGGCGAACGGGUGAGUAACACGUGGGUGAUCUGCCCUGCACUUCGGGAUAAGCCUGGGAAACUGGGUCUAAUACCGGAUAGGACUCCUGGCUUCAUGUUGGGGGUGUAAAGCUUUUGCGGUGUGGGAUGGGCCCGCGGCCUAUCAGCUUGUUGGUAGGGUAAUGGCCUACCAAGGCGACGACGGGUAGCCGGCCUGAGAGGGUGACCGGCCACACUGGGACUGAGAUACGGCCCAGACUCCUACGGGAGGCAGCAGUGGGGAAUAUUGCACAAUGGCGCAAGCCUGAUGCAGCGACGCCGCGUGAGGGAUGACGGCCUUCGGGUUGUAAACCUCUUUCAAUAGGGACGAAGCGCAAGUGACGGUACCUAUAGAAGAAGGACCGGCCAACUACGUG